RNAcentral lists this ribosomal RNA (267 nucleotides) under Escherichia coli. RNAcentral describes it as "partial 16S ribosomal RNA". It matches the Rfam family "Bacterial small subunit ribosomal RNA", at positions 1 to 264 of the family's 1533-position model. Lineage: Bacteria; Pseudomonadati; Pseudomonadota; Gammaproteobacteria; Enterobacterales; Enterobacteriaceae. The record is from RNAcentral.
AAAUUGAAGAGUUUGAUCAUGGCUCAGAUUGAACGCUGGCGGCAGGCCUAACACAUGCAAGUCGAACGGGAACAGGAAGCAGAUUGCUGCUUUGCUGACGAGUGGCGGACGGGGGAGUAAUGUCUGGGGAACUGCCUGGUGGAGGGGGAGAACUACUGGAAACGGGAGCGAAUACCGUAUAACGUCGCGAGACAAAAGAGGGGGAAGUUCGGGCCUCUUGCCAUAGGAUGAGCCCAGAUGGGGUGAGCCAGUAGGCCGGCUCUUAUU